UAAGAAUGUCUUUAUUCAGCAUAAUUAUCAUUUAAGGUAUACAAAGCAAGAGUAAGUACAUAAAAAAACAUAAAAACAUAACAGACAAUAAAUAAAAACAUAUGCUGAAUAGGCGCCCGCUCAGCAAAAAUCGCGACAUGACACAAACGUCAUGCCGAGAAGCUGGUUUUCAGCGGGAACCAAUUCGUGAUGAGGGUUGCGCGCCCUUCUGGUUAAGACCUGUGGCCGAGACGGUUUAAUCAGACAGUUAUAAACAGGUUAAAGGCAAGCUACAAUCUGGUGACACAGUCCCUGUCUCGUCUGUGACACAGUGAGCCAGGUCGGUCUACUGGCCAUAAGGGCGCGCAAUAGGGGGCGUGGUAGUCGAUAAAAAUUACUACCUAAAAACUACUACUAAAAUUACAAGUAAAUUCAAAAGAGACAAUGAUAAAUUUUCGGCUGGUUGUCAUGGUCUACCUACAUCUUCAACAAGCGCUAUUCUCCGCCAAACGCAGCCAUGAGAAAUAAUAAAUUAAAAUUAAAAUAAAAAAAUCAAAAAACAAAAAAAGUGUAUGUGAACGUUUCCGUUUAAAAAUUGAUCGAACUGAACACAGUGCCAGUGCCGAGUUGCAAGAUUCUUAAAAAAAAAAAACAAAAUUAUAUAACUCAAACAUUUACAAAGUCAGCUAAAUUUACAAAUAAAACAUGCGCAAAGACAAGCCAAAUCAAUUCGCAGUUGCUCCAGAGGAUAUUAUUUAGGAAUUUAAAACAAAGAAACAGAAGGACGACAACAAGACUAUCACAAUUAAAUAUAUUAUGUUGUGCUGUGAAAUUGGCAACGGUUGCAGGGAGUGUCGUGCUCUGCGGGGUGUGUAUCCAAACAAGAAAAAGAUGAGAGAAAAAUAGAAGAAAAAAAAAAAAAAAAAGUGUCAUUCUAACAUUUCUAUUAACCUCACAUUUAAUUUUCACAAGUUCGCCUCAUGCUUUUUAUUUUUAUUACGCACGUUGUGCCACGUUAAAAAAAGGGUGAUGUGGCGUAUUUACUGGUCCCAUACAAAAUCGAAGAGAGAGAAGUCAGUCAUGUAACAUAGGUGAGGGCCCAAGCGCGAAAUAUUGGGCUCGUGGUUUGCGAGAGUUGCGGGGCCGCCGCCAGUAAAUUGAGGUGUGAGAGAGGAGCAGACAAGUUCGGCGGGCAUGACGCGCAUGACCCCUCGGGCGCGCCCGUACGUCGGCUGGUACGAUACCAUGCUGAAACGGCCCUCGCGAGCCAAUGGUCAGCUUAUUUGCGAUGGGAUCGACCUGCCAACCCCUGCGAGCGCGUCGACGACAUACAGAUUGCGCAGUGGAGGUGGCAGGUCAUUC
Long non-coding RNA from Ostrinia nubilalis (European corn borer), 1341 nucleotides. RefSeq lists it as uncharacterized. The record is from RefSeq and is a predicted model, not a curated record. The transcript is spliced from 3 exons. NCBI's taxonomy places the organism in Eukaryota, Metazoa, Arthropoda, Insecta, Lepidoptera, Crambidae.